UAAAUUGGAGGCUACAUAGCAUGUGU
This 26-nucleotide non-coding RNA is filed under the name Mus musculus (house mouse). Lineage: Eukaryota; Metazoa; Chordata; Mammalia; Rodentia; Muridae. The record is from RNAcentral.